RNAcentral lists this ribosomal RNA (464 nucleotides) under uncultured bacterium. Its description in RNAcentral is "SSU rRNA". It matches the Rfam family "Bacterial small subunit ribosomal RNA", at positions 26 to 518 of the family's 1533-position model. The record is from RNAcentral.
AGAGCGAACGCUGGCGGCAGGCUUAACACAUGCAAGUCGAGCGCUCGUAGCAAUACGAGAGCGGCAGACGGGAGAGUAACACGUGGGAACGUACCCUUCGGUUCGGAACAACCCAGGGAAACUUGGGCUAAAUACCGGAUACGUCCGUAAGGAGAAAGAUUUAUCGCCGAAGGAUCGGCCCGCGUCUGAUUAGCUAGUUGGUGAGGUAACGGCUCACCAAGGCGACGAUCAGUAGCUGGUCUGAGAGGAUGAUCAGCCUCACUGGGACUGAGACACGGCCCAGACUCCUACGGGAGGCAGCAGUGGGAAUCUUGCGCAAUGGCCGGAAGGCUGACGCAGCGACGCCGCGUGUGGGAGGACGCCCUUCGGGGUGUAAACCACUGUUGCCCGGGACGAAAUCUCCUUUGGGGAGACGUGACGGUACCGGGUGAGGAAGCACCGGCUAACUCCGUGCCAGCAGCCGC